Molecule: long non-coding RNA, 455 nt
Organism: Drosophila sulfurigaster albostrigata
Lineage: Eukaryota; Metazoa; Arthropoda; Insecta; Diptera; Drosophilidae
Exons: 3
Source: RefSeq, a predicted model, not a curated record
UCUAUGAUCCUUUGGGAAUUGAUCAACUCCCAAAAACUUAGUUAAAUUCUUUCGCUAACUCACCAAAUGUUGUGUCCUGUCUGCAAACCAACUUGACUGCUACACUGUGAUAACCCAGCAAAGCGAAAAUCCAUCAAUAUGCUUCAAUCGACUCCUAAAACAAGCUUUACUUGGUGCAAAUAUGUACGUUCAGCCAGCUCGCAAUAAAGCAGGCUUGAAAUUUUCUUUUUAAUUCCGUCGACGACAAUGAAAUAUACAUAUAUAUGUAUGCUUAUGUUCCCAUGAAUAGAAAAGUUAAAAUGUAGUUAAAUAUAUGCAAAAAUAUUUAUUUUUUAAUACAAAAUAUAAAACUUUAAUAUCUAAUUAAAUGGUUUUACACAUAAAAAUGUAUUAAUUUAUUUUAUACCAUUCCAAAUCGUCAGGUUUGUGGGAAGACGGUGUACUAAUGAUAGUUU